This 484-nucleotide ribosomal RNA is filed under the name uncultured bacterium. Its description in RNAcentral is "partial 16S ribosomal RNA". It matches the Rfam family "Bacterial small subunit ribosomal RNA", at positions 29 to 507 of the family's 1533-position model. The record is from RNAcentral.
AUUGAACGCUGGCGGCAUGCUUUACACAUGCAAGUCAAACGGCAGCGCGGGCUUCGGCCUGGCGGCGAGUGGCGAACGGGUGAGUAAUGCAUCGGAACGUGCCCAGUAGUGGGGGAUAGCCCGGCGAAAGCCGGAUUAAUACCGCAUACGACCUGAGGGUGAAAGCGGGGGACCGAAAGGCCUCGCGCUAUUGGAGCGGCCGAUGUCGGAUUAGCUAGUUGGUGGGGUAAAGGCUUACCAAGGCGACGAUCCGUAGCUGGUCUGAGAGGACGACCAGCCACACUGGGACUGAGACACGGCCCAGACUCCUACGGGAGGCAGCAGUGGGGAAUUUUGGACAAUGGGGGCAACCCUGAUCCAGCCAUGCCGCGUGCGGGAAGAAGGCCUUCGGGCUGUAAACCGCUUUUGUUCGGGAAGAAAUCCUCUGGGCUAAUACCCCGGGGGGAUGACGGUACCGGAAGAAUAAGCACCGGCUAACUACGUG